AGGGUGUAAACGCUGCAGACUUGGUGUUGGGAACCCUUCGGGGGUGCUCAGUGCCGGAGAGAAGUUGUUAAGUCUGCUACUUGGGGAGUACGUCCGCAAGGAUGAAACUUAAAGGAAUUGGCGGGGGAGCACCGCAACGGGAGGAGCGUGCGGUUUAAUUGGAUUCAACGCCGAAAAACUCACCAGCAGCGACUGUUACAUGAAACCCAGACUAAUGAUCUUGGUUGAUUUUCAGAGAGGUGGUGCAUGGCGUCAGUGACU
This 261-nucleotide ribosomal RNA is filed under the name uncultured archaeon. RNAcentral describes it as "partial 16S ribosomal RNA". It matches the Rfam family "Archaeal small subunit ribosomal RNA", at positions 748 to 1008 of the family's 1478-position model. The record is from RNAcentral.